AUGAAAGCUUGGCUAGGAGAAUUUUCUGAAAAAAAGUCUUUUGAAUGGCUCAGCAGGCUGGACCAGGGGUUUCAGUUUUACUACCCAGGUGCAAAUGUGGUCCAGAUGCGUUUCCUAAGAUUACACAGUCGCACAGCUGUGCAGAAGGUGACUCAUUCUUGUCAUUCUGGACACACUUUGGGCCAGACAGGCAGAGAAAUCAAAUUUCUCGCUGACACAAGAAAGCAAAGUUACCUUGGAGCACUCAAAGAGUGUGUGCCUGCACAGGGGACGGUAUCUGGAGCUCGGGAGGCUGUGUUUGAGUUUGAGGACCUUCAGCUGCUUCCUUUGAGGGAUAUGGCUUUAAUGGGAGGUGGAAACGUGACACACCAGUUUGGCUUCACUGUUGGGCCUGUGUGUUUCAGCUAGAAGUUCGACGAAACUGUGCUGUGGCGAAGGACACACAGGUCUAGGACACACAUCCCACUUUAAAACACAAACACCAAGAAGACAAUUAGAGUAUAUUUUCAUGCUUUGGAGGACUCCUCUUGUUUUGGGUGAUUUUUUUUUGUUUGUUUGUUUUUUGGUGGAAUUUAAAAGCUCUUGUGUUCUUUCACAGAGCGGUCAGUUUUAUUGACAUUUAGCUAGCUUGUACUGGGUUAUUUAAUGUUUUCCUUAUUCAUAUACAAUGUUCUUAUUUUUUCGUUAUGUACUGUAUUUAGGACCUAUGUUAUAACUUGUUACUGUUGUACAGUAUAUAAAAGACUGACUGGCCUGCUUCAAACCAUUGGCCAUGUAUGACCAGGUCAUUGAUUGUACUCCCACUGCUUAGGUACUGUAAGUGAAGUCAUGUGUCACUUUUCUCACGGUGCUGAUAAAGUUUUAUUGAAAGAAGAACAUUUAAUUUCAAAUACAGUAGAAACAGGGCAGUCAUAUAAUCUUAUAAUUGUAUGUCUUUAACAUCUCAGGUACAAUAUGAUAUUUUUAUAACAUACACAUGGACACUAAAGCUACAAUAUGUUGGUGAGUUUAUGCACUUAAACUAAGAAUUAAAAGUUUUUACCAUAAGCUUUAACGGAUAAUUUCUUCAAGAUUCAAACUACCAGUGGAGUGAUCUAAUAACAUAUAUGUGAAGCCUAGGCUCGAUGCUCACCAAUUGGCUGCCACAAUAACAUUACCUGGUAGUAGAAAUCUUGUGGUGUUGGGUUAGCUUGGCUCAAAUUUAAAACUGGUCAUGACUGUCAGAACACAUGUAACAUGUAACCACAGACUAGUCAAAGUACCUAUGCUGAUUUCUGUUUAAUCUGUGUACAUAGGACUGACACUUCAGUGAAGAUACUGUACCAACAUUAUUUACAGUUGAUGCCACAGACUAUAUACUGUACUGUACUAUCAAGCCAUAACUCAGACACCAAAUGCAUAUUGUUCCACAACUGUCCACUUCAACCCAUACACUAUUUCUAUCUCUCCGCUUAACGCUUGCUAAAAAGGGCAGUAUUCAUUUGUUAAGAUGUAUAGGGCUUUUUAAAUAAAAAUACAUAUUAGCUGUUUUUAAAGAUUUAC
RNAcentral lists this long non-coding RNA (1542 nucleotides) under Betta splendens (Siamese fighting fish). Its description in RNAcentral is "lncRNA (ENSBSLG00000025167.1)". The record is from RNAcentral. Lineage: Eukaryota; Metazoa; Chordata; Actinopteri; Anabantiformes; Osphronemidae.